Molecule: ribosomal RNA, 357 nt
Filed under: uncultured bacterium
Lineage: Bacteria
Description: bacterial SSU rRNA
Rfam family: Bacterial small subunit ribosomal RNA
Source: RNAcentral
AGAGUUUGAUCCUGGCUCAGGAUGAACGCUAGCUACAGGCUUAACACAUGCAAGUCGAGGGGAAACGAUAUUGGAAGCUUGCUUCCGAUAGGCGUCGACCGGCGCACGGGUGAGUAACGCGUAUCCAACCUGCCCACCACUUGGGGAGUAACCUUGCGAAAGUAAGACUAAUACCCAAUGAUAUCUCUAGAAGACAUCUGAAAGAGAUUAAAGAUUUAUCGGUGAUGGAUGGGGGAUGCGUCUGAUUAGCUUGUUGGCGGGGUAACGGCCCACCAAGGCGACGAUCAGUAGGGGUUCUGAGAGGAAGGUCCCCCACAUUGGAACUGAGACACGGUCCAAACUCCUACGGGAGGAGCA